GUGAGGAGCUGCGAGUGGCUGGAGAUUGUUGGCGGUCGGCGAGGCAGAGGGAGGCCUAAGAAGCAUUGGGGAGAGGUGAUUAGGCAGGACAUAACUAUCCGAGGACAUGACCCUUGAUAGGAGAGUCUGGAGGUCUAGAAUCGGGGUUGUAGGUUAGGGGCUCCUAGAGUUCUUCGUACGCCUCAUCCGGGGUUGGGUGUGGGUCA
This 206-nucleotide long non-coding RNA is filed under the name Nicotiana benthamiana. RNAcentral's name for it is "long non-coding RNA (NBEN_LNC035344)". Lineage: Eukaryota; Viridiplantae; Streptophyta; Magnoliopsida; Solanales; Solanaceae. The record is from RNAcentral.